AAGGUGGGGAUGACGUCAAGUCAUCAGUGCCCCUUAUGUCCUGGGCUGCACACGUGCUACGAAUGGCCGGUACAAUGGGCUGCGAUGCCGACGAGGCGGAGCGAAUCCCAUAAAACCGGUCCCAGUUCGGAUCGGAGGCUGCAACCCGCCUCCGUGAAGUCGGAGUUGCUAGUAAUCGCGGAUCAGCAUGCCGCGGUGAAUUACCGGUUCCCGGGCCUU
Molecule: ribosomal RNA, 219 nt
Filed under: uncultured Coriobacteriaceae bacterium
Lineage: Bacteria; Bacillati; Actinomycetota; Coriobacteriia; Coriobacteriales; Coriobacteriaceae
Description: partial 16S ribosomal RNA
Rfam family: Bacterial small subunit ribosomal RNA
Source: RNAcentral